Molecule: long non-coding RNA, 697 nt
Filed under: Heterocephalus glaber (naked mole-rat)
Lineage: Eukaryota; Metazoa; Chordata; Mammalia; Rodentia; Bathyergidae
Description: lncRNA (ENSHGLG00000046020.1)
Source: RNAcentral
UUUGUUUUUGUUUUUGGGUACCAGGGAUUGAACUGAGGACCUUGUGCUUUCGAGGCAGGCACCGGAACCACUGAGCUAAAUCCCCAGCCCCUUCAUUUUAUAGGGAACAGGGAAAGGGGACAUUACUACAACCUCUGCAGUAAAUCCUAGUCUCCUGCGAGCCACGACAGCGCAAGGCGAAUUACAGGAAAGGUAGAAAAAUGAGACCGAGAAGAAGCUGAGCUUUGGGUUUGAUCAGUGCUGCUCUGAGCGGCAAAGCUGAAAGCCCCCAGCUUACCGUACAUCGGGAGAAACAAAUGUAACAAAUGACUUGCAGAGAGUUCAGUACAUCCGCGUAAACAAGACGUAACAAUCCAAGAACAAUGAGGAACUGAGUAGAUGAAGACUUUGUUCCUCCCAGGAUGUCUUCAGCUGGUGUAAUCUUGUCCUGGAGAAUCACAGCAUCACCGGAUCAUUGAGGUCUCAGUGGUGACCGGAGGCCAAAAUGGAAUUAUGUCUCGCAAUUCCAUAGUUGGGCUGUAGGCAGGAGAAGUAGGCUAACCAAAUGAUUUUCCCCUAAAAUUAUGUAGCAUUGGUCCUGACAGCCCCUCACUUUUUCACAGUUUCCCUUUUUCACAGUUUCUUCCUAUUUCAUAUUAUCUAUUAUACAUUUUUUUAAAAGAGGUUCCAGAUUGUCUUGUCUCUUCGUUGUGUUUGG